This 533-nucleotide unclassified non-coding RNA is filed under the name Zea mays. RNAcentral's name for it is "misc RNA Zm00001eb382050". Lineage: Eukaryota; Viridiplantae; Streptophyta; Magnoliopsida; Poales; Poaceae. The record is from RNAcentral.
UUCGGUUUUUAAUUCCAUAGGAUCCUAGAAAACAUAUCUUCUAUUUCCUGUGUUUUUCCUAUUCCCAUGUUUCUGAAAUCCCAUGUUCCAAAGGAGCUGGGCUUAAAGUUGUAUGGGCCAGAGCACAGAAGCCCAUCUAGGGCUAUUUCAGAGGGCUUAUCCCAGCUCCAUAAGUACGGCUCCCUGCUACAGUUACAUGGAGCUGCCAGAGCUAGUGUUAGUUCAUUUUGGUGAGAGAGAGACAAACAGCUUCAUGCAACAAUGCACAAGAUUACAUAGAAACUGGGUCUGUUUUGGGUGGAGAAGCUUUUGUGUGACAAUGCACAAGAUUACAAUGACCUAUGCAACCCAACCAAACACCAACAUAUUGCAUGCAGCUAGACUGGCUUGGGCUUAUGCAGGAUUCGAAUUUUCCAAGGAACCAAUGACACACAUUAUGUACCGAAUCCAUUUUUGUAGCUUUGUAUUCAUCUUUUAUAAAUACUCAUUUGUAGCAUACCAAAGGUAAUAGAUCCAGAUUAGAUGAAACCACU